CCCUCAACUCAGAGAUCGGACGAGGGCUACUACAGUGACGAUCAAUAAUUAGUUAGAGAAUGAUGUCCUAGAGAUAUCUGAUGAGGUAUCUACUUCUUUCCAGCAGUAGAUUUUAGAUUCUGCAUGCUCCUAUCAUGUAUAUUGCAGAGAGGAGCAGUUUGACUCUCUGAAAAGCGGUGAGGAUACUAUUUAUCUAUCGGAUGCAUCGAGCUGUGCGAUAAGAGACAUCGGGACAGUCAGCUGGAGGACACAUGAUGGUGCAGUGAGG
RNAcentral lists this long non-coding RNA (268 nucleotides) under Elaeis guineensis (African oil palm). Its description in RNAcentral is "long non-coding RNA (EGUI_LNC025847)". Lineage: Eukaryota; Viridiplantae; Streptophyta; Magnoliopsida; Arecales; Arecaceae. The record is from RNAcentral.